This 515-nucleotide ribosomal RNA is filed under the name uncultured bacterium. RNAcentral describes it as "bacterial SSU rRNA". It matches the Rfam family "Bacterial small subunit ribosomal RNA", at positions 9 to 526 of the family's 1533-position model. The record is from RNAcentral.
GAGUUUGAUCCUGGCUCAGAACGAACGUUGGCGGCGUGGAUUAGGCAGCAAGUCGAGCGACAAGGUGUGAAGUGCUUGCACGGAUCACUGGAGGAGCGGCAAACGGGGUAGUAAGGCGUCGGUGACGUACCCUCCGGACCGGGAUAGCCGCGGGAAACUGCGAGUAAUACCGGAUGACAUCUGCGGAUCAAAGGGUGAGAUUCCGCCGGAGGAGCGGCUGACGUGGUAUUAGCUAGUUGGUGAGGUAACGGCUCACCAAGGCGAUGAUGCCUAGGGGGUGUGAGAGCAUGGCCCCCACCACUGGGACUGAGAUACUGCCCAGACACCUACGGGUGGCUGCAGUCGAGAAUCUUCGGCAAUGGGCGCAAGCCUGACCGAGCGACGCCGCGUGCGGGAUGAAGGCCUUCGGGUUGUAAACCGCUGUCAGGGGUGAAGAAAGGUGCGGGACCGCCCGUACUUGACGUUAGCCCCAGAGGAAGUCACGGCUAACUCCGUGCCAGCAGCCGCGGUAAGAC